UACGGAGGGUGCAAGCGUUAUCCGGAUUCACUGGGUUUAAAGGGUGCGUAGGUGGGCUAGUAAGUCCGUGGUGAAAUCUCCAAGCUUAACUUGGAAACUGCCGUGGAUACUAUUAGUCUUGAAUCUCGUGGAGGUAAGCGGAAUAUGUCAUGUAGCGGUGAAAUGCUUAGAUAUGACAUAGAACACCGUUAGCGAAGGCAGCUUGCUACACGAGUAUUGACACUGAGGCACGAAAGCGUGGGGAUCAAACAGG
RNAcentral lists this ribosomal RNA (253 nucleotides) under uncultured bacterium. Its description in RNAcentral is "partial 16S ribosomal RNA". It matches the Rfam family "Bacterial small subunit ribosomal RNA", at positions 524 to 776 of the family's 1533-position model. The record is from RNAcentral.